AUUCCUUGUUUGCCUGUCUGUAUACAUUAUAAUAACACUAGCCCAUGGAUCAGCUUUGACCACUCCCAAUCUUUUAUUUUCCAGAUUUGCCAUGUUUUCAAACAACAAAAUUGGUUUAGUCCUAAUCUUCAUCAUCAAGCAGUCAACAUGCCAGGCACCGGUUUGGUAACUAUUCUUUAGUGCACAGCCCCAGAGUGUGAGGGGUUUGUAUGGUUGUUUGGUUAGUUGUGGGUUUUUUUAAUGAUUUGGUUGUGGCUCACAGGUUUUGGGGUUUUUUGUGUCCCAUGGUCCAUAAGUAAGAUACUUCCUUUUAAAAUGUAGUCAAUAAUAAUUGCUGAAUUUUGUAAAUUAAUUCAUAUGUAUAGGAAACCAGUAUUUCAUGAGAAUUUCUGUGUGUCUCUUGAUAAUCUGAGUAAGCUGAGAAGAUUUGCCUUGGAGUAAGGUGUGUGUUUCAGUGGUCUCAGACAGAAAGAGCUUUACUUCUGUUGGAUGACAAACUUUAAUGGAAACAAUAGCCUGCAAAGAGAGCGUUUUCUAAGUUCGUGGAAAUCAUUCAGACCAUGCUUAUGUUUUGUUAGUAAACACUGUUCUUUAAUUCAGAAAGCAGUUUGUACUGGCCUGGGGAAGCCUGUCUCAUUUGAUAAUGGGCUCUGAAUCCAGUGGAUUAUUGCAGGGAUUUUAUCUUGCAGUAAUCUCCGGGGGAAACGUACAAACAGCUGGGAGAGCAAGAAGGAGCUGCAUUGUGCGGCGGGAGUUUGUCGAGCGGAGUUUUAGGGCGCUGGAGUGGAUCUCAAUACCAACAUGAACCUUUUCUGUUUUUCUCUGGAGGGCUCAAUGGACAGCUUGUAUGAGCCUGUCCCAGAACAUCAGGAACCCAAGGAUACAACUACUACUGACAGCCAGGCUAGCACUCCAGCGAGCCCACCUCUGAACUGUGGACCACCUGAUAGGUCUAAGUCUUUGCUACACAAUCCUUCCCACAUCUUGUCAGGGUAUAUAUAUUGGCUGGAUCCUGGGCUCUGUGUGAUCUUUCC
Molecule: long non-coding RNA, 1034 nt
Organism: Manacus vitellinus (golden-collared manakin)
Lineage: Eukaryota; Metazoa; Chordata; Aves; Passeriformes; Pipridae
Source: Ensembl